UUAAAUAUGUAUCUAGGAAUGCAUUAAAUGGUGUUAACAUUUUAAGAUGUCUAGCAGGUGUUACAUGGGGUGCAGAUCCCAAAAUACUUUCAUUAUUAUAUAAAUCUAUUAACAGAGCUUUGAGGAUCAUAUCAGGAGCAAUGUGUUCGACUCCCAUAAGGGCCAUGGAAGUCGAAACAAAUAUUAUGCCAUUGAUAUUGAGACGACUUAUGCUUGCAGAAAGAUACUGCCUGAAACUAUUAUCAUCAAAUAAUAUCCAAAUUAUAAAUAGGAUAAUACCUCACCCAAUCAAUAUAGAUGGUCCACUCACUUCACCAAAUGAUCUCCUGAGAGGUACAUCUCCAACUCUGUGCCAGAUCUUCUUAGAAAUACAAUCUCAUUAU
This is a long non-coding RNA of Pieris brassicae (large cabbage white), 383 nucleotides long. RefSeq lists it as uncharacterized. The transcript is spliced from 2 exons. NCBI's taxonomy places the organism in Eukaryota, Metazoa, Arthropoda, Insecta, Lepidoptera, Pieridae. The record is from RefSeq and is a predicted model, not a curated record.